UGUUUUCUCUUGUAAUUUCAACUAGAGAGAAGGUCUUCCCAAUGUGACCAUAUAUACAGAUCUCCUGAAAAGAAACUUACAAAACCCAAACAGAAGGAAAGACUCAUGAAGAAAAUGUGCCUGGCUUUAGUGGAUUUGAUGAAGAGGAAUUUUCCAUUAUAGACACAGCAAUAACAAUGCAAUACAUACUGGAUGAAGAUCACCAUUUUCUUUGACCUAAGGAAGGAAUCUGGGGAUGGGGAGCAGAGGCAACGCUCCAGAUUACUCUUUCACUGAAAAGCAGCAUCAUAAUGAUGAGCUACUGCCUAUCAGAGUCCCAGAGCCCUGCUACUGUACCUUGUAAAUCAGCUCCCCAGAAGCCUUCCAGCUUUGGCACACACAGCCACUGUCUUCAUUGGAUGGCCAGGACAACAGGAUCAACAGCAACCAGGUGGAUUUGACAGCUGACAGCAUUUACAGCAGAUUCCAGGGCAAGUGCCAAAGGGUGUGAUGUCUGAGGUUCAUCUGGUAUGCUCCUGCAUUCUUCCAUUUUUUAGCCACAAAGUAAGUGAUGACUUUAAUAUUUGUCUUUAUAAAGUGGGUAGGAGUUAUAUUGGCUAUACUGUUACUUGGCAGCCUUAAUGGCAGUGUGCUCAUGAUUAAUAAGGAAUAACUAUCUUGCAAUUCAGCCAUAGAAUGAAAUGGGACAUUUCAGUAGCACUAACCAAAGAAAAUGUUGGCAGUG
RNAcentral lists this long non-coding RNA (724 nucleotides) under Junco hyemalis (dark-eyed junco). RNAcentral describes it as "lncRNA (ENSJHYG00000000445.1)". The record is from RNAcentral. Lineage: Eukaryota; Metazoa; Chordata; Aves; Passeriformes; Passerellidae.